UGUUGAUAAGUAUAUGUACACCAACCCAUGAUAUCAGUCUUCCCACAAACAUAGACCUUGUUCAAACCACCAAAAGAAACAUGGGUAUGUUCUUCAAGCCUUCUCUGCUUCCCCUCCUCGUGUUGCUUUUGGUGUUUAGCUUCACAACUACUAAAAGGCCAAGAUUUGCAGAAGCCAGACCACUUUCUUCCCCACCUCAACAAAGAUUGUCAAAGAUGCUUGGAACACUAGGAUUGGUAUGCAAGUGUUGUGAUGGACCUGGAGAAGAAUGCAAAACUACAUGGGUUGAGCCUUGCUCUAAGCUCCAAUGUUUGCCUUGGAAAGCUAUGUCAAAACAUGCGAAUAAGAUAUAGUUUUGAUUUUGUUGUAAAUAUAGCCACUUUAUAUAUAUAUAUAUACUUACUAGCUACUUUAUGAAAUCAAGUGGUCUUCAAUUCAAUCCAAUUUUGAAGUUUUCCAGUU
This is a non-coding RNA of Camellia sinensis, 462 nucleotides long. Lineage: Eukaryota; Viridiplantae; Streptophyta; Magnoliopsida; Ericales; Theaceae. The record is from RefSeq and is a predicted model, not a curated record.